Non-coding RNA from Podarcis lilfordi (Lilford's wall lizard), 77 nucleotides. NCBI's taxonomy places the organism in Eukaryota, Metazoa, Chordata, Lepidosauria, Squamata, Lacertidae. The record is from the annotation of a GenBank genome assembly.
GUCUUCUGGAUAGCUCAGUUGGUUAGAGCAUAGUGCUAAUCAUGCCAAGGUCACAGGUUCAAUCCCCAUAUGGGACA